AUUGAACGCUGGCGGCAUGCCUUACACAUGCAAGUCGAACGGUAACAGGUCUUCGGAUGCUGACGAGUGGCGAACGGGUGAGUAAUACAUCGGAACGUGCCCGAUCGUGGGGGAUAACGAGGCGAAAGCUUUGCUAAUACCGCAUACGAUCUACGGAUGAAAGCGGGGGAUCUUCGGACCUCGCGCGGACGGAGCGGCCGAUGGCAGAUUAGGUAGUUGGUGGGAUAAAAGCUUACCAAGCCGACGAUCCGUAGCUGGUCUGAGAGGAUGAUCAGCCACACUGGGACUGAGACACGGCCCAGACUCCUACGGGAGGCAGCAGUGGGGAAUUUUGGACAAUGGGCGAAAGCCUGAUCCAGCCAUGCCGCGUGCAGGAUGAAGGCCUUUGGGUUGUAAACUGCUUUUGUACGGAACGAAAAGCCUCUUUCUAAUAAAGAGGGGUCAUGACGGUACCGUAAGAAUAAGCACCGGCUAACUACGUG
Molecule: ribosomal RNA, 482 nt
Filed under: uncultured bacterium
Lineage: Bacteria
Description: partial 16S ribosomal RNA
Rfam family: Bacterial small subunit ribosomal RNA
Source: RNAcentral